Molecule: ribosomal RNA, 446 nt
Filed under: uncultured bacterium
Lineage: Bacteria
Description: bacterial SSU rRNA
Rfam family: Bacterial small subunit ribosomal RNA
Source: RNAcentral
GCACAGCAGUAACAAUACUGUGGGUGGCGAGUGGCGGACGGGUGAGGAAUACGUCGGAAUCUGCCCAGUCGUGGGGGAUAACUAGCCGAAAGGUUAGCUAAUACCGCAUACGACCGAGAGGUGAAAGCGGGGGACCGCAAGGCCUCGCGCGAUUGGAUGAGCCGACGUCGGAUUAGCUAGUUGGCGGGGUAAAGGCCCACCAAGGCGACGAUCCGUAGCUGGUCUGAGAGGAUGAUCAGCCACACUGGAACUGAGACACGGUCCAGACUCCUACGGGAGGCAGCAGUGGGGAAUAUUGGACAAUGGGCGCAAGCCUGAUCCAGCAAUGCCGCGUGUGUGAAGAAGGCCUUCGGGUUGUAAAGCACUUUUAUCAGGAACGAAAAGCGUUGGAUUAAUACUCUGACGUGCUGACGGUACCUGAGGAAUAAGCACCGGCUAACUUCGUG